RNAcentral lists this ribosomal RNA (263 nucleotides) under uncultured bacterium. Its description in RNAcentral is "partial 16S ribosomal RNA". It matches the Rfam family "Bacterial small subunit ribosomal RNA", at positions 793 to 1055 of the family's 1533-position model. The record is from RNAcentral.
GUCCACGCGGUAAACGAUGAAUGCUAGGUGUCGGGAGCAAAGCUCUUCGGUGCCGCCGCAAACGCAUUAAGCAUUCCACCUGGGGAGUACGUUCGCAAGAAUGAAACUCAAAGGAAUUGACGGGGCCCGCACAAGCGGUGGAUUAUGUGGUUUAAUUCGAAGCAACGCGAAGAACCUUACCAGGGUUUGACAUCCUGCUAACGAAGUAGAGAUACAUUAGGUGCCCUUGGGGAAAGCAGAGACAGGUGGUGCAUGGUUGUCGU